CCGUGAGCUGCCCAGUGACGCAAGUGUACCAGGUCAGCGAGACGGCAGAGCGGAAUUACAGAAGCCAUCUUCUCUAAAGUCAUAGUUUGUUUUGUUUGUCAAGUCAACCAGCGGUUUUCUCAGCUCCCGCUUUUCCCCAGUCGCCCUUCUGGUUUUGAUCUUUGCCUGUCCGGACUCUGAGCCCACCUGCCUGACCACUCUGCCUGACCCUGCCUGCUGUCCUGACCCGUUGCCCCCUACUCUGGAUUUCUGACCUCUGCCUGACCUGAGCCUGCCUGCCGUCCUGUGCCUUGGCCCCACCUCUCUGGAUUAUCGACCCCUGCUUGCCUUGACUUGUCGUUUGCCUGCCCCUGUUGCUGUAAUAAACAUUGUAACUUCAACACAGUCUGCACUUGGGUCUUACUAGAAACGUUAUAGAUGCAUCCUAAAUAGUUACACAUGUAUCUAUAUGCAAUAUCCUCCUUUGCAUGUUUGGGUAUUAUUCUACACACUGGCUAUUUUAAUGAGCUCUGACACCAAACAAGACCAAAUUUAGUUGGACCGGAACAAAUCUGAACCAGUCAUAGACGCCUAUGUUUCACAAGUUUGGACAUCAAGGUAGAGUAUAGUUCAAUACAUUAUAGUGGACUCAAUUUUAGUGUGCUCUACUGUAAACUGUACGGAACUCUGCUCUACAGUACAGCACUGUACUCUACUGUUCUUUACUGUGCUGUGCUGUCCAAACUUGUGAACCCAACUGUGCUUUGUGACUGCUAUGAUUUCCCGUUGUAGCCAAUUCAAUACAGAAAUUUUGCUAGCGG
Oncorhynchus tshawytscha (Chinook salmon) is the source of this 800-nucleotide long non-coding RNA. The record is from Ensembl. NCBI's taxonomy places the organism in Eukaryota, Metazoa, Chordata, Actinopteri, Salmoniformes, Salmonidae.